GGGGAUGCAUUGGAUUUGACUGAUGCUGUUUUACAUAUUUGCAAGUAGGUCCACGGGUACCUUUAAACCAGUAAAACAAAUAAAUGCUGAAAAAGAAGCAUUAGUGCCAGCAAUGGCAUACGUUGCUGCUUAAUUAUUAAGUAGCAACAGACAUCAAAGACUCUGCCUGGAGGAUCUUUGUCUAAGUCUUAAUAAAACCAGGAAGAGUGGUUUAAAAGCAGUCGAGUUAAGCCAUUCGGGCAAAUGCCCAAACCUUAGACUUGCGGAGAGAUUAGAAGGUAUUUAGAUCCUUCCUUUUCAAAGAUAAUUCUAAAUAAACUUGUAGAAGGUAUGAAAAAGAGCCUCAACACGUGGGUUCAACUCCCGCCAUCCCUACCA
This 378-nucleotide transfer-messenger RNA is filed under the name Patescibacteria group bacterium. It matches the Rfam family "transfer-messenger RNA". From Rfam's summary of the family: Bacterial tmRNA, also known as 10Sa RNA or SsrA, is named for its dual tRNA and mRNA-like properties. Its role is to liberate the mRNA from a stalled ribosome. To accomplish this part of the tmRNA is used as a reading frame that ends in a translation stop signal. The record is from RNAcentral.